RNAcentral lists this ribosomal RNA (413 nucleotides) under uncultured bacterium. RNAcentral describes it as "partial 16S ribosomal RNA". It matches the Rfam family "Bacterial small subunit ribosomal RNA", at positions 356 to 760 of the family's 1533-position model. The record is from RNAcentral.
UGGGAAUUUUGGACAAUUGGGCGAAAGCCUGAUCCAGCAAUGCCGCGUGUGUGAAGAAGGCCUUCGGGUUGUAAAGCACUUUUGUCCGGAAAGAAAUCCUUGGCUCUAAUACAGUCGGGGGAUGACGGUACCGGAAGAAUAAGCACCGGCUAACUACGUGCCAGCAGCCGCGGUAAUACGUAGGGUGCAAGCGUUAAUCGGAAUUACUGGGCGUAAAGCGUGCGCAGGCGGUUUGCUAAGACCGAUGUGAAAUCCCCGGGCUCAACCUGGGAACUGCAUUGGUGACUGGCAGGCUAGAGUAUGGCAGAGGGGGGUAGAAUUCCACGUGUAGCAGUGAAAUGCGUAGAGAUGUGGAGGAAUACCGAUGGCGAAGGCAGCCCCCUGGGCCAAUACUGACGCUCAUACACGAAAGC